This 112-nucleotide microRNA precursor is filed under the name Loxodonta africana (African savanna elephant). Its description in RNAcentral is "miRNA (ENSLAFG00000032886.1)". Lineage: Eukaryota; Metazoa; Chordata; Mammalia; Proboscidea; Elephantidae. The record is from RNAcentral.
UAAAUUUGAAUUUCUGAUAAACAAUGAAUACUUCUUUUAGUGUAAAUAUACCUCAUGCAAUACUUGGGACAUACUUAAACUAAAAAAAUAUUUAUCUGAAAUUCAAAUCUAA